UGCCAGCCGCCGCGGUAACACGUAGGGACCAAGCGUUGUCCGGAUUUAUUGGGCGUAAAGAGCUCGUGAGGCGGUUUUGUAAGUCGGAUGUGAAAACUCAGGGCUCAACCCUGAGACGCCAUCCGAUACUGCAAUGACUAGAGUCCGGUAGGGGAAGAUGGAAUUCCUGGUGUAGCGGUGGAAUGCGCAGAUAUCAGGAGGAACACCAAUGGCGAAGGCAGUCUUCUGGGCCGGUACUGACGCUGAGGCGCGAAGGCGUGGGUAGCGAACGGGAUUAGAUA
RNAcentral lists this ribosomal RNA (281 nucleotides) under uncultured bacterium. Its description in RNAcentral is "partial 16S ribosomal RNA". It matches the Rfam family "Bacterial small subunit ribosomal RNA", at positions 506 to 784 of the family's 1533-position model. The record is from RNAcentral.